CUAGAUGAGCAUCAGAUGCCAAUUUUUCAGGCAGUGCCUUGGACAACAGCAACUUUGGAGGCCCCAGUUGCCAGCGCCUGGGACCUAAGUGUGGAAGAGCCCUUCCGGAACCCGGCGGAAGUAGGACUACUGCAGGAAGUUGGCGUCUUAGUCCAGGCCUGCUUCACCAUGUCCAAGGUUUCCUUUAAGAUCACGCUGACGUCGGACCCGCGGCUGCCCUACAAAGUACUCAGUGUUCCUGAAAGUACACCUUUCAUAGCAGUCUUAAAGUUUGCAGCAGAAGAGUUUAAAGUUUCUGCAGCCACAAGUGCAAUUAUUACCAAUGAUGGAAUAGGAAUAAAUCCUGCACAGACUGCUGGAAAUGUUUUCCUAAAGCAUGGUUCAGAACUGCGAAUUAUUCCUAGAGAUCGUGUUGGAAGUUGUUAAUAUCCUCUACAUAAAGAUAGAAUUACCUUUCAAAAUAAAUAUUGGGUAUUGCUGUUGUAAAACUGACAUCAGGCAUUUAAAAUACUAUGAAAACAUCAAUAAUUGAUGAAAUAAUGAAAGACUUUAAAACAGGAAUUUUCAAGAAACAUUGUCUUUCUGGGGAUAUUUGGAAACUACAUUGAGCAAGAGCCUAUUGUAAAGAAGAUCUGAAAUUCACAACAAAGAUCAAGAAAAUGCUAGUGGAAAUAAUGAUUAAUUAUACUCACUGAAGGUCCUACAUUUAAGGAAAUGUUAAGAUUAAUCAAGUGAAUAAGAAGCCAAGAAAGGGAAGAUGGCUAAGCCCAGGUAGCAAAAAACAACAGUGAAGGGGAACAGAAAGCUGUCGAAAAGUGUAGUCACAAAAGCCAGCUGGAUAGGCAAAAGUGCAGAGGCUGUGUUGUGUUGGGAGAACAGAAGGGGAUAAUAGAGAAUGUCAUAAGUAGCAGAAGACAAUUGAAAAAGCAAAUUAUAGGCCUUUUCAACAUACAGAUUUGAAAAUUCCCUUUAUGAGAAUCUAAAGAAUGAUAUACCUAAGGAAUGUUUUUAUUUUCUCUUACAGCAGAAAUCAAUAACUAUUCAAAUCUUUAAAAAUGAAAUGAAGGCUCAUAGUGAUUCAGAAUCAGUGCUCAAUUUGCUGUAUUUUACAAUAGAUGGUGAGCUCUCUGGAGCAGGCCUUGUGUUUGUCUUGCUCUUUCUAAACCUGAAAAUAUAGUAGGCUUUCAAUAAAUACUUGGUGAAUUAUUCAUAAAUAAAAUAUCUCUAAGAC
RNA transcript from Pipistrellus kuhlii (Kuhl's pipistrelle), 1231 nucleotides. It is a transcript of the gene named ubiquitin fold modifier 1, with no coding region annotated. Lineage: Eukaryota; Metazoa; Chordata; Mammalia; Chiroptera; Vespertilionidae. The transcript has 7 exons. The record is from RefSeq and is a predicted model, not a curated record.